UGGGGAAUUUUGGACAAUGGGCGAAAGCCUGAUCCAGCAAUGCCGCGUGUGUGAAGAAGGCCUUCGGGUUGUAAAGCACUUUUGUCCGGAAAGAAAUCCUUGGCUCUAAUACAGUCGGGGGAUGACGGUACCGGAAGAAUAAGCACCGGCUAACUACGUGCCAGCAGCCGCGGUAAUACGUAGGGUGCAAGCGUUAAUCGGAAUUACUGGGCGUAAAGCGUGCGCAGGCGGUUUGCUAAGACCGAUGUGAAAUCCCCGGGCUCAACCUGGGAACUGCAUUGGUGACUGGCAGGCUAGAGUAUGGCAGAGGGGGGUAGAAUUCCACGUGUAGCAGUGAAAUGCGUAGAGAUGUGGAGGAAUACCGAUGGCGAAGGCAGCCCCCUGGGCCAAUACUGACGCUCAUGCACGAAAGCGUGGGGGAGCAAACAGGAUUAGAUACCCUGGUAGUCCACGCCCUAAACGAUGUCAACUAGUUGUUGGGGAUUCAUUUCCUAGUAACGUAGCUAACGCGUGAAGUUGACCGCCUGGGGAGUACGGUCGCAAGAUUAAAA
RNAcentral lists this ribosomal RNA (551 nucleotides) under uncultured bacterium. RNAcentral's name for it is "partial 16S ribosomal RNA". It matches the Rfam family "Bacterial small subunit ribosomal RNA", at positions 355 to 899 of the family's 1533-position model. The record is from RNAcentral.